This 726-nucleotide long non-coding RNA is filed under the name Struthio camelus australis. RNAcentral's name for it is "lncRNA (ENSSCUG00000011170.1)". Lineage: Eukaryota; Metazoa; Chordata; Aves; Struthioniformes; Struthionidae. The record is from RNAcentral.
AAAAUAGAAGCUGUUGAUUAACACUCUGCUUCAACAGCAGCAAGUUCUACAAGGUCUACGACAUUUCCUCUCCUUCCUUCAGCCAUCUGGUGUCAGGGUAAUUUUUUAUGAAAGGAUGGCAGUCAGAGGUGAAGUUCUGUGGCUCUUUCAGGCUCUCUGUGCCUGAGAGUAAAGCAAGCUCAAUUCUGAAGGGGCUGGAACUGUGUUUGGCCAGAGGUUUUCAUCUGUGUGAUUACUGUUACUUCUUCAUGUGCCAGGGAAGGGCUAUGGAAAGUAACUUUUCCUUUUUAGUGACACACACUUUUCAUUCCACUGUGGAUAAAAUGUAGCUGGAAUAGCUAUAAUGCAUCUCACAUUUAAUAGUGAUGAAUAUUGACCUUUCUUUUUCAGAGCUAGUGCCCUUUGGGAGACAAAACCAUCUUGGGACAUGAGAUAGAUAAGACAUGAUUAGUUUGCAAAUAUAUGGUUCUUUACAUUAGAGGAAGAAGCAUUAGAAUUAGAAGAAAAUGCUGUUACCGGAAGGACAAUGACGCAAACUCAGGUGAACAGAGGAAGGAAAGGAUAGAGUUUGAAGGGCUGAGGUGUGGAAAGCAAAAGAUUAAACUUUCAAACAACCUCGUCGCUGGACAGAGGGAUGAAGAUCUAACUGAGCUGAGUAUCUCAUGCUACAAACAAUUGCCAUCAUCAAGUGCAGCAAUAAACAAAUCAAAAAUUAAGUUUUUGUAG